This 469-nucleotide ribosomal RNA is filed under the name uncultured bacterium. RNAcentral's name for it is "bacterial SSU rRNA". It matches the Rfam family "Bacterial small subunit ribosomal RNA", at positions 355 to 825 of the family's 1533-position model. The record is from RNAcentral.
UAGGGAAUAUUGGGCAAUGGAGGGAACUCUGACCCAGCCAUGCCGCGUGCAGGAUGAAGGCGUUAUGCGUUGUAAACUGCUUUUAUAUAGGAAGAAAUAGUCCUUGCGAGGAAAGUUGACGGUACUAUAUGAAUAAGCACCGGCUAACUCCGUGCCAGCAGCCGCGGUAAUACGGAGGGUGCAAGCGUUGUCCGGAUUUAUUGGGUUUAAAGGGUGCGUAGGCGGUUUAUUAAGUCAGUGGUGAAAGACGGUCGCUCAACGAUUGCAGUGCCAUUGAUGCUGGUAGACUUGAGUAUGAUUGAGGUAGCUGGAAUGGAUAGUGUAGCGGUGAAAAUGCAUAGAUAUUAUCCAGAACACCAAUUGCGUAGGCAAAGUUACUAAGUCAUAACUGACGCUGAGGCACGAAAGUGUGGGUAUCAAAACAGGAUUAGAUACCCGCGUAGUCCCUGAGCGGGCUGGCAAGGCGCAU